Molecule: long non-coding RNA, 169 nt
Organism: Hydra vulgaris (swiftwater hydra)
Lineage: Eukaryota; Metazoa; Cnidaria; Hydrozoa; Anthoathecata; Hydridae
Source: RefSeq, a predicted model, not a curated record
UCGACUAUAUUUAUCUAUAUCAGUGACACCUAACCUUAUUUAUAUGUUGCUGUUACUGUUGCUUUAGUUUUUUAUAAACUUGUCACUGCUUCUUUCGAUUCGAUCUGACUUUGGCUAUAAGGUGUUGCUGUUACUGUUGCUUUGGUUUUUUAUAAACUUGUCACUGCUU